This 515-nucleotide ribosomal RNA is filed under the name Hymenoscyphus himalayensis. Its description in RNAcentral is "eukaryotic LSU rRNA". The stretch from base 171 to 324 matches the Rfam family "5.8S ribosomal RNA". Lineage: Eukaryota; Fungi; Ascomycota; Leotiomycetes; Helotiales; Helotiaceae. The record is from RNAcentral.
AAGGAUCAUUACAGAGUUCCUGCCCUCACGGGUAGAAACCCCACCCUUGUGUAUUAUAUGAUUGUUGCUUUGGCAGGCCGCCGUUUGGCCCUGGCUUCGGCUAGGCUGUGCCUGCCAGAGGACCCCCAAUUCUGAAUGUUAGUGUCGUCUGAGUACUAUUCAAUAGUUAAAACUUUCAACAACGGAUCUCUUGGUUCUGGCAUCGAUGAAGAACGCAGCGAAAUGCGAUAAGUAAUGUGAAUUGCAGAAUUCAGUGAAUCAUCGAAUCUUUGAACGCACAUUGCGCCCCUUGGUAUUCCGAGGGGCAUGCCUGUUCGAGCGUCAUUAUAACCACUCCCACCUCGGUGGGGUCUUGGGCUUCGCCUCCGGGCGGGUCUUAAAAUCAGUGGCGGCCCUGCUCGGCUCCUAAGCGUAGUAACAAUUCUCGCUAUAGGGCUCGGGUGGUCGUUAGCCAACAACCCCCCUUUAUUUACAGGAUUGACCUCGGAUCAGGUAGGGAUACCCGCUGAACUUAA